GACUGACCUCUAGUGCACCAGUUGUUCCGCCAGGAGCACAGCUGGGUAGCUAAGUCGGGAAGGGAUAAACGCUGAAAGCAUCUAAGCGUGAAGCCUCCCUCAAGAUAAGAUUUCCCAUGACGAAAGUCAGUAAGACCCCUUGAAGAACACAAGGUUGAUAGGUCGGAGGUGUAAGUGCAGUAAUGUAUUAAGCUGACCGAUACUAAUAGGUCGAGGACUUGACCAA
Molecule: ribosomal RNA, 226 nt
Organism: Clostridium tepidiprofundi DSM 19306
Lineage: Bacteria; Bacillati; Bacillota; Clostridia; Eubacteriales; Clostridiaceae
Rfam family: Bacterial large subunit ribosomal RNA
Source: Rfam